This 1376-nucleotide ribosomal RNA is filed under the name Triticum aestivum (bread wheat). Its description in RNAcentral is "partial small subunit ribosomal RNA". The record is from RNAcentral. Lineage: Eukaryota; Viridiplantae; Streptophyta; Magnoliopsida; Poales; Poaceae.
GACUUAUCAGGAGUUGUAUUGGACAGGAGAGGAAGGAAUAGGACAAGGAGAGGGGUAGGAGAACUGGCUGCCGCCGACCGACUACUGCGGCCUGCUUCUCCCUCUCGUUCUGCUGCGGGAAGGGGGUCAUUGGGAGGUCGGAAAGGGGAGGGUCGGCGCCGGAGGGGUAGCUCCAUCGUCCUGCCGCUGCGAACCACAGAGGAGCUAGAGGGGACCAGUUGCGUGAAGGUACGAGCCGAUGAGAUGUGGGGGUAUGGGAGGGACGAGCUACGGUGGCUCGAGGCCAUCAGGUCGAGUAGUUUAGGCCGCCCGGCGUCCGACGUCGAGUGGUACAAGGUGUCGCAGGUCGAGGUUAGGCUUGAUACUUCUCGAUGAUGUUCUACUGCUCGGUAGACUUCUACUUCGACCCCAAUGGUAGUUAAAUUUCUCGUUUCUUUUUUUUAAUUUUGAAGUUGGUCUAGUAAAACAACUGGGAAGCAGAACUAUACGUAUACUUUAGUCUACUACAAGGAUAAAAAAGACCAUAACAGACGUACAAUUAGUCUUAAUGUUUAAAGUAAAGUAAUCUACUAACAAGUGGGCUCGGUAUUGUUAAAGUCCAAUCGACAUGAGGAUAAGGAAAAUUUAAAAGAUAUCGUAUAGUCCUAACGUUCUACUUCUUGUUAGUUAUUCAAGUUCUUUUCGAACUUGGUUACCGUUGUUCAUUCCUGUUUAAGAAAACGUUAGUUGUGAUUGAUGACUAAAAUCCUCAAUAUCAGUACAAGACCAUGGGUUUUAGAAUUGAUCGUAGCAACUUUAAGAUAAGUUGUAUUCAAAAUAAGAACAGGUUGGUCUAGUAAAACAACUGGAAAAGCAGAACCUACACGUAUAAUUUUAUCUGCUCCAAGGAAAAAAAGUCCAUACUAGACGUACAAGACGACGUUCAAGUAUAGACCUUUUUUUACGAACAACACUGCUCGAUCAUAAGAAAGUCCUUCGACUUGUACGUUCAAGUAUAGACGUUUUUUUUUUUCGUUCAAGUCGACGUAGGUGAAACAGAGAAAGUCCUUCGGUUCUACAGAACAUGUAUACUAGUACCCUCGACGUGCCACGAGUUGGAUAACCGUAUGUUUUCGUAGGGAACUAAGUGCAAUAAACACCUACUACGGGAACACCUCACUAGACCUCGAUACCUGUGGAAGGGAUUUCGAACUUUGUACAUAAAAGACAAAUCUAAAACAUGCCAUGACCUUACAAACCUCGAAGUCAAAAGAUGAAACAAAAACGAAAAGACUUGACGGUAUCCGUCUACAGCCACUCGUCUAUACAUUGACCGACGCUAGACCAAGGUAAAAUUAAUUUACUACGGCCCCCAAGGUGGGAUAAAAAACUUGUUU